RNAcentral lists this ribosomal RNA (484 nucleotides) under uncultured bacterium. Its description in RNAcentral is "partial 16S ribosomal RNA". It matches the Rfam family "Bacterial small subunit ribosomal RNA", at positions 30 to 507 of the family's 1533-position model. The record is from RNAcentral.
AUUGAACGCUGGCGGCAGGCCUAACACAUGCAAGUCGAGCGGAUGAAGGGAGCUUGCUCCUGGCUGCAGCGGCGGACGGGUGAGUAAUGCCUAGGAAUCUGCCUGGUCGUGGGGGAUAACGUCCGGAAACGGGCGCUAAUACCGCAUACGUCCUGAGGGAGAAAGUGGGGGAUCUUCGGACCUCACGCUAUCAGAUGAGCCUAGGUCGGAUUAGCUAGUUGGUGGGGUAAAGGCCUACCAAGGCGACGAUCCGUAACUGGUCUGAGAGGAUGAUCAGUCACACUGGAACUGAGACACGGUCCAGACUCCUACGGGAGGCAGCAGUGGGGAAUAUUGGACAAUGGGCGAAAGCCUGAUCCAGCCAUGCCGCGUGUGUGAAGAAGGUCUUCGGAUUGUAAAGCACUUUUAGUUGGGAGGAAGGGCAGUAAGUUAAUACCUGGCUGUUUUGACGUUACCAACAGAAUAAGCACCGGCUAACUUCGUG